UAUAUACGGUUGUCGCAGGUUCUCCCGAGAUUCUUGUCGCGUGCAGCGGACUCCUGUCGUCCGCCCGUCGUUCUCUUUUCUCAGCGUAAUAGCGAUUUACGAUUUACUUGUCGCGCUACGCACCGACCGUGCGCGCGCGCGACCGAGGUUGUCGCACUUGUCGCUCGCGAGCGCUCGUCUUGUUCCCGCGUUUAGUUGUCUCGUUUUCGUUUGUCGUCGCGUGUCGGAAAACUGUGCUCACGACCAGAAGUCAAUUGCGUAAUCGCACGGGAUCUUCAACUCGGGGGAUGCUCGGCAGUGAUAGCGAGGAGAGAUAAUGCAAAAUAUCCGUACGCGUUGAAUAGAAGCAGGCUGUUUUCUUCCACACAUCGUGCAACAAAGGAUAAUAAGGAAACGAUAAUCUAUUAGCGGAACGAUUUGUCAUAUACGAGGAUCGGUGUGUGAAGAAUAUUAAUUGCAUCGACGAUUAUUCGCCAUUGAUUCGACGCGAAAGAAGAUGGACUGCAACGUGGAAAAAUUCUGAGAGACAAAUAUAGAAACAUCAGAUUAGAAUAUCAAUGAGACACAAUAUAUUUUUCGACUCGCUUCUGAAACGGAAAAGCGAUAAUCGAGGAAACUUUGUAGAUAUUCCAACAAAUAGCUCUUCGUGAACGAAUCUUUUCAAAGAGGUAUAAAAAGGCAGCUUCUAAAAAAUAUAUCCCCAGAAAAAAGGUUACCCGAAAGAGAAACAUCUACCUGAAGCACAUUCAAAGGGAUAUAUUUUCAGCUGGAUUAUUCCGUAAAAGGAAACACAUGUCGGAGAAAAAUUCUUUCAAAGAUUAUACUCGUUGAAGAGAAAUUUUCUGAGGAAUAUUUUUCAUGAAUGCGUAUUCGGCCCUCAAUGAAAAAUAUAAUGCUUAGAAAGAAAUGCUAUUAAUGAGAAACAUUAAAAGAUGUUUGUUCGUGAGAAGAUUCGCGACGAUUUCGAGGAAUUUUUCCGGAGACGUUUUAGAACUUCGAAGACACUGUCAAGGAACAGUCGGUGACGCGUUUAUAUCAAAGAAGAAGACAUACUUCCUCUCUCUUUCGUGGGCAACAAUCGCUUAUCCUCCUUGAUUCUUUUGAAGAGACGUUUCUGCAGAAAGAAAGAUCAUAGAGCAUUCAGCUUCCUUCUUCUUUCCUUCUCAAGCCUCGCGAUUGAUUGUUAUUUUCAGAGCCUACCGUUUUCCACUUUCCGGGUUCGGUGAAGAUCGAUAUCUCUUCGUCAUAGCAGGUAGACAAGAAUGGUACUUGAGGUGGUGCGCGUGCAAGCGCCGCGGGGCGUCGCGACGCUGGGUCGGCGAAUUAAGCUCCGCAACUUCGGCUUUACGUAAUGUCAAUCUGCCGCUAUUGCUGCUGCUGCUACCGACACCGUCGGGUGGGACUCGUCAAGGUUAUGGGCCGCGGAAAACGCGCUGCAGACCUGUAACAAGACGCCGCCGCCAAAGCCGCCCGUUGAUUCUACUAAUCUAGUGAGAAGCAAAGCGUUCCACCAGUCAAGCUGAACGAGCGGAAGCUUUUGAAGGGGACUAAGCAAGUGGAGAGACCGCGGUAAUCCGGUAAAUCGAUUUAACGGGAUUUCACGGAUCGAGGAAAAGGUGUAGAAAUAGGAGAAGAAAAAGGAAGAAAACUUGAAAGAUCAAAGAAAUUGUGGAAAAUUUGACGAGAAACUGAGAAACAGACAUAAAGACGAGGAAAACUUGAAAAGUUGAGCGAAACAUUAAACAAUUUGAAGAUUAUAACGGAGACCUGCGUAUUAAGAAAAAAAAAAUUGUGUAAUAUUCGUCAUUCAAAGUAAAGUUAAAAAAGUUAAAGAAAGAUUUCAAAACUAGCUAAAGUGAAGAAGUUAACGUUCGGUGAAAAGGUAUAUGCUGAUCAGUUUAAGUGAAUCGCAUUGGUUAAAUAACUUGUACAAAAGCGACACAGGUAGCUAGUUUUAGAAGAAGAGGCUACAAAGGCUAAAGGAAAGUUACAGGAGAAGCAGAACAAAUAUCAGACAGUUACCUUAGGAAGCUCUGAGAGGUAGGACGGAAACUUAAGGAAACGUCCGCGGAAGCCUGAGGAGGAAAGCCAAGAAAGAUACCAUCGGGCGUUCUCAAAGAAAACACCAUCGGCUUCAAGGCGACACUUGAGCCUUACUCGUGAAGGACGUUGCAAGUGUCUUUUCCUGUCGAGAUAUCAUCAGACACGUCUCACAUCGUCUUCCUGGAUCAGCGAUCGCGUCUGAACGGCCUUCGCAGAAACGCUACGGGAAUUCGCGAGAACGCGCGUUACUGAAGUUUCGGACGGCCGCGCGCGUGACGUAUGUACGUUCUCGUUCGCGUGUUUGUUGGUGUUGUUGUUAAUGAAAGUGUCCGGCCCGUUCACGCAGACUCGCCGCGGCUCUCGGCCCGCGCGGACGCGCAUUACCGAUUCUCGCGCAUCGAGUGUCCUCCACCGAGCUUGAAGUAGGCACUUUCGGAUUCUUAGAUCGUCGCAGAUUGGAAGAAGACAUCGAAUGCCCGGCCUUGUGACGCUCCGUAGGACUCGAGACUUUUGGACGCGGACAGGACAAUGAGCGUCAGAAUCGUUGUGAGCGUCACCGAGCUCACAAACAUGGACGCCAAGGAUCGUUACGUCGUCGAGGGCAUCGCACUUUCCACAGCCACCGAGGAUGUCGGGGAUGGGCCCCAAGGGCACGACAACGACACCGG
This is a long non-coding RNA of Temnothorax curvispinosus, 2711 nucleotides long. RefSeq lists it as uncharacterized. The record is from RefSeq and is a predicted model, not a curated record. The transcript has 4 exons. NCBI's taxonomy places the organism in Eukaryota, Metazoa, Arthropoda, Insecta, Hymenoptera, Formicidae.